This 497-nucleotide ribosomal RNA is filed under the name uncultured bacterium. RNAcentral's name for it is "partial 16S ribosomal RNA". It matches the Rfam family "Bacterial small subunit ribosomal RNA", at positions 28 to 507 of the family's 1533-position model. The record is from RNAcentral.
GAUGAACGCUGGCGGCGUGCCUAAUACAUGCAAGUCGAGCGAACAGACGAGGAGCUUGCUCCUCUGACGUUAGCGGCGGACGGGUGAGUAACACGUGGAUAACCUACCUAUAAGACUGGGAUAACUUCGGGAAACCGGAGCUAAUACCGGAUAAUAUAUUGAACCGCAUGGUUCAAUAGUGAAAGACGGUUUUGCUGUCACUUAUAGAUGGAUCCGCGCCGCAUUAGCUAGUUGGUAAGGUAACGGCUUACCAAGGCAACGAUGCGUAGCCGACCUGAGAGGGUGAUCGGCCACACUGGAACUGGGACACGGUCCAGACUCCUACGGGAGGCAGCAGUAGGGAAUCUUCCGCAAUGGGCGAAAGCCUGACGGAGCAACGCCGCGUGAGUGAUGAAGGUCUUCGGAUCGUAAAACUCUGUUAUUAGGGACGAACAAAUGUGUACGUAACUAUGCACGUCUUGACGGUACCUAAUCAGAAAGCCACGGCUAACUACGUG